Molecule: long non-coding RNA, 323 nt
Organism: Harmonia axyridis
Lineage: Eukaryota; Metazoa; Arthropoda; Insecta; Coleoptera; Coccinellidae
Exons: 2
Source: RefSeq, a predicted model, not a curated record
UUUCAAUUUUCGAUCAAUGAAUUCCAACACCAAUCUGAUCAUCCUACAUAUUGAGAUAAUCAAGGCACCAAAUGCAAGAGUGCCAAUGUGAUACCUGAAAACCCAGAAUUCGAAAUAUUAGUAUGGCAAAAUGAAAGGAUUUGCCGCAGAAUUAGGUAAUAUUUUCUACCUGAGUACUGUGGAGGCAGCUGAAGUGACAGCGAAAAAUGGCAAAUUACGACGUGGUUUAGUCCAGUACCAAGUGGCAAACACAGUUGCAAGCACCAUCUGACUGAAGGCGGAAACAAAGAAACUCCCCCAGAAGAAUCCAAAGAUGUUGAACC